RNAcentral lists this ribosomal RNA (406 nucleotides) under uncultured bacterium. Its description in RNAcentral is "partial 16S ribosomal RNA". It matches the Rfam family "Bacterial small subunit ribosomal RNA", at positions 30 to 526 of the family's 1533-position model. The record is from RNAcentral.
AUUGAACGCUGGCGGCAGGCCUAACACAUGCAAGUCGAACGAGUGGCGGACGGGUGAGUAAUGUCUGGGAAACUGCCUGAUGGAGGGGGAUAACUACUGGAAACGGUAGCUAAUACCUCAUACCAUCGGAUGUUCCCAGAUGGGAUUAGCUAGUAGGUGGGGUAACGGCUCACCUAGGCGACGAUCCCUAGCUGUUCUGAGAGGAUGACCAGCCACACUGGAACUGAGACACGGUCCAGACUCAUACGGGAGGCAGCAGGGGGGAAUAUUGCACAAUGGGCGCAAGCCAGAUGCAGCCAUGCCGCGUGUAUGAAGAAGGCCUUCGGGUUGUAAAGUACUUUCAGCGGGGAGGCGUUACCCGCAGAAGAAGCGACGGCUAACUCCGUGCCAGCAGACGCGAUAAUAC